RNAcentral lists this ribosomal RNA (465 nucleotides) under Vreelandella stevensii. RNAcentral's name for it is "partial 16S ribosomal RNA". It matches the Rfam family "Bacterial small subunit ribosomal RNA", at positions 338 to 795 of the family's 1533-position model. The record is from RNAcentral. Lineage: Bacteria; Pseudomonadati; Pseudomonadota; Gammaproteobacteria; Oceanospirillales; Halomonadaceae.
CCUACGGGGGGCUGCAGUGGGGAAUAUUGGACAAUGGGGGGAACCCUGAUCCAGCCAUGCCGCGUGUGUGAAGAAGGCCCUCGGGUUGUAAAGCACUUUCAGUGAGGAAGAACGCCUGGUGGUUAAUACCCAUCAGGAAAGACAUCACUCACAGAAGAAGCACCGGCUAACUCCGUGCCAGCAGCCGCGGUAAUACGGAGGGUGCGAGCGUUAAUCGGAAUUACUGGGCGUAAAGCGCGCGUAGGUGGCUUGAUAAGCCGGUUGUGAAAGCCCCGGGCUCAACCUGGGAACGGCAUCCGGAACUGUCAAGCUAGAGUGCAGGAGAGGAAGGUAGAAUUCCCGGUGUAGCGGUGAAAUGCGUAGAGAUCGGGAGGAAUACCAGUGGCGAAGGCGGCCUUCUGGACUGACUCUGACACUGAGGUGCGAAAGCGAGGGUAGCAAACAGGAUUAGAUACCCCAGUAGUC